GGCCCCAUCGUCUAGCCCGGUCUAGGACGCGUGGUUCUCAGCCACUAAACAGGGGUUCAAAUCCCCUUGGGGCUA
RNAcentral lists this transfer RNA (75 nucleotides) under Candidatus Omnitrophota bacterium. RNAcentral's name for it is "Candidatus Omnitrophica bacterium tRNA-Glu". It matches the Rfam family "tRNA". Rfam says of the family: Transfer RNA (tRNA) molecules are approximately 80 nucleotides in length. Their secondary structure includes four short double-helical elements and three loops (D, anti-codon, and T loops). Lineage: Bacteria; Pseudomonadati; Candidatus Omnitrophota. The record is from RNAcentral.